GACGAACGCUGGCGGCGUGCUUAACACAUGCAAGUCGUACGGUAAGGCCCUUUCGGGGGUACACGAGUGGCGAACGGGUGAGUAACACGUGAGUAACCUUCCCACAACUUUGGGAUAACGCUAGGAAACUGGGGCUAAUACUGGAUAUGUGCUCCUGCUGCAUGGUGGGGGUUGGAAAGCUCCGGCGGUUGUGGAUGGACUCGGGGCCUAUUAGCUUGUUGGUGGGGUAGUGGCCUACCAAGGCGGCGACGGGUAGCCGGCCUGAGAGGGUGACCAGGCACACUGGAAGUGAGAGACGGGCCAGACGCCUACGGGAGGCAGCAGUGGGGAAUAUUGGACGAUGGGCGAAAGCGUGAUCCAGCCAUGCCGCGUGUGUGAAGAAGGUCUUCGGAUUGUAAAGCACUGUAAGUGGGGAGGAAGGGCAGGAAGGUAAUACCUUGCUGUUUUGACGGGACCAACAGAAUAAGCACCGGCUAACUUCGUG
Molecule: ribosomal RNA, 484 nt
Filed under: uncultured bacterium
Lineage: Bacteria
Description: partial 16S ribosomal RNA
Rfam family: Bacterial small subunit ribosomal RNA
Source: RNAcentral